GGUUAAGUGAAUAAGGGCGCACGGUGGAUGCCUUGGCACUAGGAGCCGAUGAAGGACGGGACUAACACCGAUAUGCUUUGGGGAGCUGUAAGUAAGCUAUGAUCCAGAGAUUUCCGAAUGGGGGAACCCAAUAUCUUUUAUAGGAUAUUACUUUUCAGUGA
RNAcentral lists this ribosomal RNA (161 nucleotides) under Enterococcus faecalis. RNAcentral describes it as "partial 23S ribosomal RNA". It matches the Rfam family "Bacterial large subunit ribosomal RNA", at positions 1 to 161 of the family's 2925-position model. Lineage: Bacteria; Bacillati; Bacillota; Bacilli; Lactobacillales; Enterococcaceae. The record is from RNAcentral.